This 328-nucleotide ribosomal RNA is filed under the name uncultured bacterium. Its description in RNAcentral is "bacterial SSU rRNA". It matches the Rfam family "Bacterial small subunit ribosomal RNA", at positions 30 to 339 of the family's 1533-position model. The record is from RNAcentral.
AGUGAACGCUGGCGGCAGGCCUAACACAUGCAAGUCGAGCGGCAGCGGGUCCCCGCGAGGGGAUGCCGGCGAGCGGCGGACGGGUGAGGAACACAUCGGAAUCUGCCUGGUUGUGGGGGAUAACGUAGGGAAACUUACGCUAAUACCGCAUGCGACCCUGAGUCGACGGACUGGGGGUGAAAGUGAGGGACCUUCGGGCCUCACGCGACCAGAUGAGCCGAUGUCGGAUUAGCUAGUUGGCGGGGUAACGGCCCGCCAAGGCGACGAUCCGUAGCUGGUCUGAGAGGAUGAUCAGCCACACUGGGACUGAGACACGGCCCACGACUCC